Molecule: small nuclear RNA, 112 nt
Organism: Dipodomys spectabilis (banner-tailed kangaroo rat)
Lineage: Eukaryota; Metazoa; Chordata; Mammalia; Rodentia; Heteromyidae
Source: RefSeq, a predicted model, not a curated record
GUCUGUCUUCAGCAGUGCAUACACAAAAACUGGAAUGAUAUAGAGAAGUUUAGUACAGCUCCAGAGCAAGAAAGACAUGCAAAUUUUUUUGUGUGAAAUGUUACAUUUUUUU